Molecule: ribosomal RNA, 239 nt
Filed under: uncultured Lactobacillus sp.
Lineage: Bacteria; Bacillati; Bacillota; Bacilli; Lactobacillales; Lactobacillaceae
Description: partial 16S ribosomal RNA
Rfam family: Bacterial small subunit ribosomal RNA
Source: RNAcentral
CCGUAGCCCAAGAGAUCGGGAUAACACCUGGAAACAGAUGCUAAUACCGGAUAACAACAGAUGAUGCCUAUCAACUGUUUAAAAGAUGGUUCUGCUAUCACUCUUGGAUGGACCUGCGGUGCAUUAGCUAGUUGGUAGGGUAACGGCCUGCCAAGGCGAUGAUGCAUAGCCGAGUUGAGAGACUGAUCGGCCACAUUGGGACUGAGACACGGCCCAAACUCCUACGGGAGGCAGCAGAA